Molecule: long non-coding RNA, 448 nt
Filed under: Brachypodium distachyon (stiff brome)
Lineage: Eukaryota; Viridiplantae; Streptophyta; Magnoliopsida; Poales; Poaceae
Description: long non-coding RNA (BDIS_LNC005153)
Source: RNAcentral
UUUUUUGUUGCUACUUUUCACUCAUGUAUGUUCUCAACAAUGUGGGCUCACGUAUGUUAACUAAAAAUUUCCGCAACAACGUGCGGGGCAUCAUCUAGUUCCUUUAACUUGUAGGCACGGCAAUAUCACCAGCCACCAGACGGAUUACAUCCUCCAGAAAGGAGUCAAGCCACACAUAAUUUUUGGCUUGAGACCCACAAGACCCUAAAGCGGCUAAAGCAUGAGCAGGCCGAGGACAAAACAUGACCGAAGAAUACACGAAGAACAUAUGGAAAAUAUAUUUGGCUUCUCUGAACAAUUGAACAUCGCUCCCAGCGGCGCCACAUCAUUAUCCCACGUAGAUAGUGCCCUUCACAGGACCAAUCUGUCGAGAAAACAAUGUUGAUAAACAUCUUCGACAUGAAAAGGACAUGUACUUGAGUCUCACAUGUAUCAUUUUUUUUGUUCC